This 69-nucleotide transfer RNA is filed under the name Bos taurus (domestic cattle). It matches the Rfam family "tRNA". From Rfam's summary of the family: Transfer RNA (tRNA) molecules are approximately 80 nucleotides in length. The record is from Rfam by way of RNAcentral. Lineage: Eukaryota; Metazoa; Chordata; Mammalia; Artiodactyla; Bovidae. RNAcentral also lists the same sequence under 8 other names.
CCUGGUGGCUCAGAUGGUAAAGAAUCUGCCUACAAUGCAGGAGACCCAGGUUUGAUUCCUGGGUCAGGA